Molecule: long non-coding RNA, 764 nt
Filed under: Panax ginseng (ginseng)
Lineage: Eukaryota; Viridiplantae; Streptophyta; Magnoliopsida; Apiales; Araliaceae
Description: long non-coding RNA (PGIN_LNC001488)
Source: RNAcentral
GCUAAUAUUGGGAUAUGUUUGAGCUUAAUAAAUAAGAAACAGCCAAGAUGAAAUAAAACAGCAUGAGCUGUAGCCUGUAGUUUAGAAUAAAAGCAAAAUCCAAGGAAACAUAAUUGUAAGCAAGAGCUGAAGCUAAGUUAGGAGCUAAUUAGGUGACGAGGAUAUUCUUAAGCAGUAGCUGUCUUUGUGCGAUGGAUAUAGAUAUAUUACUCGGUUGGUCUAUAGCGUGGGAAGCAAGGAAUGUCAUCCUAUAAAUCAAGAGCACCCAAAAGUUCCCAGCUUUCCCUUUCUCUCAACCGAUUCCUCUCCUGGCUAAGCUAUUACCCGGACUUCUCCUUACUUUACUUGUUUACUCAAACAUGCUAAACAAGAACAAAUUAGUAGAUAUGUGAUUUACUAGUAACUUGAUUAAGUCCAUGUGCUUCGGUUUGUGUAACAUAGUGCAGAUAUUUGAUGUCUAGUAUGCUUUAUAAUGGAUAUUACUAUAUUGUAGAAUUAGGUGAUUAUCAAUGGAAUUGAAAUAAAAGGAAGUACAAUUAGUUAGUUUGCUAAUCACUUAGUUUUGCAUAAGUUUGACUGUAAUAGACUAUUAUGGCUGGAACUAAAUUAAAGGAGAUAGGUUGGUUGUGUGGAGGCAUAAGGGAGAUAAAAUGGAUUUGUAAUACAAGCAAAUAGUUAUGACACAAGUAGUUUAAAACUGUGCACACUAGCUGUUUGAUAAAAGUCCUUAAUGGACUGUUUAAGUUGAAAAUCAGAUAUUAGGC